This is a non-coding RNA of Dipodomys ordii (Ord's kangaroo rat), 66 nucleotides long. The record is from Rfam. NCBI's taxonomy places the organism in Eukaryota, Metazoa, Chordata, Mammalia, Rodentia, Heteromyidae.
GGUGGCUCAGUGGUAGAGUGCUUGCCUUGCAUGCAUAGAGGCCCUGGGUUCAAUUCCUCAGCACCA